RNAcentral lists this ribosomal RNA (207 nucleotides) under uncultured bacterium. Its description in RNAcentral is "partial 16S ribosomal RNA". It matches the Rfam family "Bacterial small subunit ribosomal RNA", at positions 568 to 774 of the family's 1533-position model. The record is from RNAcentral.
CGCGUAGGCGGGCCAGACAGUCUGUGGUGAAAGCCUCCAGCUUAACUGGAGAAGUGCCGUGGAUACUGCUGGCCUCGAGGAGGGUAGGGGCAUCUGGAACGGUCGGUGGAGCGGUGAAAUGCGUUGAUAUCGACCGGAACUCCGGUGGCGAAGGCGAGGUGCUGGACCCUUUCUGACGCUGAGGCGCGAAAGCCAGGGGAGCAAACG